Molecule: ribosomal RNA, 627 nt
Filed under: uncultured fungus
Lineage: Eukaryota; Fungi
Description: eukaryotic LSU rRNA
Rfam family: Eukaryotic large subunit ribosomal RNA
Source: RNAcentral
CCCGCUGAACUUAAGCAUAUCAAUAAGCGGAGGAAAAGAAACCAACUGGGAUUGCCUCAGUAACGGCGAGUGAAGCGGCAUCAGCUCAGAUUUGAAAUCUGGUUCUUUCAGAGCCCGAGUUGUAAUCUGUAGAGGAGUCUUCGGGUUUGGAUCUGGCCUAAGUUUCUUGGAACAGAACAUCAUAGAGGGUGAGAGUCCCGUAUGAGGCCGGCUACCUAUUCCCAUGUGAAGCUUCUUCGACGAGUCGAGUUGUUUGGGAAUGCAGCUCAAAAUGGGUGGUAAAUUUCAUCUAAAGCUAAAUAUUGGCGGGAGACCGAUAGCGCACAAGUAGAGUGAUCGAAAGAUGAAAAGCACUUUGAAAAGAGAGUUAAAAAGUACGUGAAAUUGUUGAAAGGGAAACGCUUGCGAUUAGACUUGCGCUCAGGUGAUCAACCGGUGUUCUCACCGGUGCACUCUCCUGCUUGCAGGCCAGCAUCGGUUUGGGCGGUUGGAUAAAGGCCCUAGGAAUGUAGCUGUCCUCGGUGCAGUGUUAUAGCCUAGGGUGCAAUGCAGCCAGCCUGGACCGAGGUCCGCGCUUCGGCUAGGAUGCUGGCAUAAUGGUCGUAAGCGACCCGUCUUGAAACACGG